Long non-coding RNA from Triticum aestivum (bread wheat), 869 nucleotides. RefSeq lists it as uncharacterized. The transcript has 5 exons. The record is from RefSeq and is a predicted model, not a curated record. NCBI's taxonomy places the organism in Eukaryota, Viridiplantae, Streptophyta, Magnoliopsida, Poales, Poaceae.
UCUUUGGUCAUUCCCGGCUGGGUACCUGUAGAAAUCUUGCUGACUUGCUGCUGUUCUGUUCACCUCAUUUCACAGGAUCUAUUGGCCAUAGUGGGUUUUUUUUUCAUCCAGGAAGUGCAUCGUCUCUCCUUUUGUCCAGACCUACUCCCCCUUUGUUGUGCUGCCGUAUCAUCCAGCCGUGGUUGAUGUUGUGCCUAUUGUAGUUAUUGCUUCACACCUUGAGAAAUCCUUGUGGCGGAAGGAAGUCAUAUAUCAUCGCUGCAGUGAAGUGCAAGGAAGAACCUAUAUCAGAUGGUUUUUGCGAAGAUGGGAGAAGAGCUACCAGAGUGGUUCCUUCUUGGUCGAUCUAAUGCUCAUACACAGGUAAAUACCGAUUCAUCUCAUGUUAGCUCAGAGGAUGUCCCUGUCCCUAUCGACCAUGACGUCAGCCAUGGCAAUAUUGAAGGCGACAAUGAUGAGGGGAACAUUGGUGUUAACGAUAACAACUGUGGCUUCAAUCUUCAUGGUGCCUCUCGAGGAGGAUCUCACUAGUCUACUUGCAUGGCAAUUGAUGACUAAUCGUCUUUGCGGUAUUUUGGAUACGAGUGUAGAAGUACCAUAUGUUCCACGCCUUCUUAUCCUUUUGUUGCAUUCACUUUUCUGAAGUGAUAUGUAUGUAACUGAUGUCCCUGAUCUUCAACCUAGGAGGCUUUCUAUCCAUGUAUUUUGCUAUCACUGCAUUGCGUUGUGCAGUGUGAUGGAUGAUAAUUAGACUGGUGGCGGCAUAUAUGUAUGUAGCAGUACUGUUGUAUGCAACAUGUAUAUAUUCCUUUUAUGGACUGCUUUUAUGGACUGCUUUUAUGUGACAUGUAUAUAUUCCUUUUGGAUGC